GUCUAUAGCUAUACCACCCUGAACAUGCCUGAUCUUGUCUGAUCUUGGAAGCUAAGCAGUGUCGGGCUGUUAAUAGUUGGAUGGGAGAAAAUGAAGUAAACUGAGUGUUGGGAUA
Molecule: ribosomal RNA, 115 nt
Organism: Erinaceus europaeus (western European hedgehog)
Lineage: Eukaryota; Metazoa; Chordata; Mammalia; Eulipotyphla; Erinaceidae
Source: Ensembl